This 404-nucleotide ribosomal RNA is filed under the name uncultured bacterium. RNAcentral describes it as "partial 16S ribosomal RNA". It matches the Rfam family "Bacterial small subunit ribosomal RNA", at positions 28 to 526 of the family's 1533-position model. The record is from RNAcentral.
GACGAACGCUGGCGGCGUGCCUAAUACAUGCAAGUCGAACGCAGUGGGGACGGGUGAGUAACACGUGGGUAACCUCCCCAUCAGAGGGGAUAACACUUGGAAACAGGUGCUACACCGCUACUGAUGGAUGGGCCCGCGGUGCCUGAGCUAGUUGGUGAGGGAACGGCUCACCCAGGCCACGAUGCAUAGCCGACCUGAGAGGGUGAUCGGCCACACAGUGACUUAGACACGGCCCAGACUCCUACGGGAGGCAGCAGUAGGGAAUCUUCGGCAAUGGACGAAAGUCUGACCGUGCAACGCCGCGUGAGUGAAGAAGGUUUUCGGAUCGUAAAACUCUGUUGUUAGAGAAGCGGUAUCUAACCAGAAAGCCACGGCUAACUACGUGCCAGCAGCCGCGGUAAUUC